UUAAAUUGAAGAGUUUGAUCAUGGCUCAGAUUGAACGCUGGCGGCAGGCCUAACACAUGCAAGUCGAACGGUAACAGGAAGAGCUUGCUUCUUUGCUGACGAGUGGCGGACGGGUGAGUAAUGUCUGGGAAACUGCCUGAUGGAGGGGGAUAACUACUGGAAACGGUAGCUAAUACCGCAUAACGUCGCAAGACCAAAGAGGGGGACCUUCGGGCCUCUUGCCAUCGGAUGUGCCCAGAUGGGAUUAGCUUGUUGGUGGGGUAACGGCUCACCAAGGCGACGAUCCCUAGCUGGUCUGAGAGGAUGACCAGCCACACUGGAACUGAGACACGGUCCAGACUCCUACGGGAGGCAGCAGUGGGGAAUAUUGCACAAUGGGCGCAAGCCUGAUGCAGCCAUGCCGCGUGUAUGAAGAAGGCCUUCGGGUUGUAAAGUACUUUCAGCGGGGAGGAAGGGAGUAAAGUUAAUACCUUUGCUCAUUGACGUUACCCGCAGAAGAAGCACCGGCUAACUCCGUGCCAGCAGCCGCGGUAAUACGGAGGGUGCAAGCGUUAAUCGGAAUUACUGGGCGUAAAGCGCACGCAGGCGGUUUGUUAAGUCAGAUGUGAAAUCCCCGGGCUCAACCUGGGAACUGCAUCUGAUACUGGCAAGCUUGAGUCUCGUAGAGGGGGGUAGAAUUCCAGGUGUAGCGGUGAAAUGCGUAGAGAUCUGGAGGAAUACCGGUGGCGAAGGCGGCCCCCUGGACGAAGACUGACGCUCAGGUGCGAAAGCGUGGGGAGCAAACAGGAUUAGAUACCCUGGUAGUCCACGCCGUAAACGAUGUCGACUUGGAGGUUGUGCCCUUGAGGCGUGGCUUCCGGAGCUAACGCGUUAAGUCGACCGCCUGGGGAGUACGGCCGCAAGGUUAAAACUCAAAUGAAUUGACGGGGGCCCGCACAAGCGGUGGAGCAUGUGGUUUAAUUCGAUGCAACGCGAAGAACCUUACCUGGUCUUGACAUCCACGGAAGUUUUCAGAGAUGAGAAUGUGCCUUCGGGAACCGUGAGACAGGUGCUGCAUGGCUGUCGUCAGCUCGUGUUGUGAAAUGUUGGGUUAAGUCCCGCAACGAGCGCAACCCUUAUCCUUUGUUGCCAGCGGUCCGGCCGGGAACUCAAAGGAGACUGCCAGUGAUAAACUGGAGGAAGGUGGGGAUGACGUCAAGUCAUCAUGGCCCUUACGACCAGGGCUACACACGUGCUACAAUGGCGCAUACAAAGAGAAGCGACCUCGCGAGAGCAAGCGGACCUCAUAAAGUGCGUCGUAGUCCGGAUUGGAGUCUGCAACUCGACUCCAUGAAGUCGGAAUCGCUAGUAAUCGUGGAUCAGAAUGCCACGGUGAAUACGUUCCCGGGCCUUGUACACACCGCCCGUCACACCAUGGGAGUGGGUUGCAAAAGAAGUAGGUAGCUUAACCUUCGGGAGGGCGCUUACCACUUUGUGAUUCAUGACUGGGGUGAAGUCGUAACAAGGUAACCGUAGGGGAACCUGCGGUUGGAUCACCUCCUUACCUUAAAGAAGC
This 1555-nucleotide ribosomal RNA is filed under the name Escherichia coli. Its description in RNAcentral is "bacterial SSU rRNA". It matches the Rfam family "Bacterial small subunit ribosomal RNA". The record is from RNAcentral. Lineage: Bacteria; Pseudomonadati; Pseudomonadota; Gammaproteobacteria; Enterobacterales; Enterobacteriaceae.